RNAcentral lists this ribosomal RNA (300 nucleotides) under uncultured Halalkalicoccus sp. RNAcentral describes it as "bacterial SSU rRNA". The stretch from base 52 to 300 matches the Rfam family "Bacterial small subunit ribosomal RNA", at positions 547 to 795 of the family's 1533-position model. The record is from RNAcentral. Lineage: Archaea; Methanobacteriati; Methanobacteriota; Halobacteria; Halobacteriales; Halalkalicoccaceae.
GGUACCGAGGGGCGAGGGGCGGCUGGAAAGCGGAGGGGGAGAGCGUGGGCGGGUGUUAGAGGCGGAAAAGGGAGAGUAGGCGGCCAGUGAGGUCCGUUGAGAAAACCCGAGGCGCAGCGUCGAGACGCCGAUGGAAGGCGACGGGCUAGAGUCCGGAAGGGGAGAGUGGAAUACCAGGAGUAGCGGUGAAAUGCGCAGAUAUGGGGAGGAACACCCGUGGCUAAGGCGGCUCUCUAGUACGGUACUGACGCUGAGACGCGAAAGCGUGGGGAGCGAACAGGAUUAGAUACCCCUGUAGUC